This 492-nucleotide ribosomal RNA is filed under the name Sphingomonas sp. HS122. RNAcentral describes it as "bacterial SSU rRNA". It matches the Rfam family "Bacterial small subunit ribosomal RNA", at positions 56 to 595 of the family's 1533-position model. The record is from RNAcentral. Lineage: Bacteria; Pseudomonadati; Pseudomonadota; Alphaproteobacteria; Sphingomonadales; Sphingomonadaceae.
GGCACCCCGAACGAUCUCUUCGGAGAUAGUGGCGCACGGGUGCGUAACGCGUGGGAAUCUGCCCUUGGGUUCGGAAUAACAUCGGGAAACUGAUGCUAAUACCGGAUGAUGACGUAAGUCCAAAGAUUUAUCGCCCAGGGAUGAGCCCGCGUAGGAUUAGCUAGUUGGUGAGGUAAAGGCUCACCAAGGCGACGAUCCUUAGCUGGUCUGAGAGGAUGAUCAGCCACACUGGGACUGAGACACGGCCCAGACUCCUACGGGAGGCAGCAGUAGGGAAUAUUGGACAAUGGGGGCAACCCUGAUCCAGCAAUGCCGCGUGAGUGAUGAAGGCCUUAGGGUUGUAAAGCUCUUUUACCCGGGAUGAUAAUGACAGUACCGGGAGAAUAAGCCCCGGCUAACUCCGUGCCAGCAGCCGCGGUAAUACGGAGGGGGCUAGCGUUGUCGGAAUUACUGGGCGUAAAGCGCACGUAGGCGGCGAUUUAAGUCAAAGGG